UGGAAGCUGGCUGCUGGGUCGUCAACCGGAGUGGACUCUGGUUUCAUGUUCGUGUCCACGUCGAAUAGCCCGGAGAGGUCGAAGCUUGGGGAGAGAGAAAUGAUUUCGAAUGCCUUUAGGCACGUGGGUUUCAUUGAGGAUCCGAUGGCGUCCGAGGUGGAGUGGUCGUCGACGAUGUCGAAAAUGCUUCUCGGAGAUUCUUCGUUCUGGGUGUCAGCAUUGGGGAUUAUGGGUUUGGGUUGGGGUAGGAUUUGGGUGAAAAUUGCCAACCGCAUGAAAUUCUGUGCUACCUUGCUCGGAAGCUGGCCGGAGUGGUCUCCUCCGGGCGUAAUCUCGUCGCAAUAGAAGCGCCUCCAUGCUCCUCGCGACGUCUCCGGUGAACUCCACUGUCCACCGCCUCCGAGUUUGUCGCCGGCUGCCUGCUCCGCCGCCUCACUCGCUCACUGACGAACGAAACAAAGGAGGUGGAAGUGGCUGAGGUUGGGGAUAAGAAGGCUGAGGAACCCCCACGUAUUUAAUUGAUUCUUCUGCAUCAUCCAUGGUGAAUUUCAACGACGGUGGAGAGAUGGAACGCGGCGGCAAUGAGGACUACGGAGGCGGUGGGUUCUAUCAGGCGGAGAAGAAGCGGCGACUUAGCCCUGACCAAGUCCAUUUUCUGGAGCAAAGUUUUGAGGUGGAAAACAUGCUUGAACCAGAGAGGAAUGUAAAAUUGGCUAAGGACUUGGGGCUGCAGCCCAGAUAGGUUGUGGACUUGCGGUUUGGUUCCAGAACUAGCAUGCCAAAUACAAGACAAAACAUAUUGAGAAAGAAUAUGAUUCCUUGAAGUCUUGCCAUGAUAAACUCACAUCAAAGCUGAUUGUGAUUCCCUCUCCUACGAACUCAAAUGACAUAUCUACCCUCACUUUUGACGGCUUAGACAGAAGGGACUAACGGAAGGAUGACAGCAGGUUAAAUUUCGUAACUCGGAGGACCACGGAUGAUAAUUAUGAAAGUUAGGGACUAUAGGUUGUGAAACCACCAAACUCGAGGGACCUUGACUG
Molecule: RNA transcript, 1040 nt
Organism: Ipomoea nil (Japanese morning glory)
Lineage: Eukaryota; Viridiplantae; Streptophyta; Magnoliopsida; Solanales; Convolvulaceae
Gene name: homeobox-leucine zipper protein HOX4-like
Exons: 3
Source: RefSeq, a predicted model, not a curated record